ACGCUCGACACCUACUGGAGGCAGCAGUGGGGAAUAUUGCACAAUGGGGGAAACCCGUGAUGCAGCGACGCCGCGUGGAGGAAGAAGGUCUUCGGAUUGUAAACUCCUGUUGUUGGGGAAAAAGAGGAUGGUACCCAACAAGGAAGUGACGGCUAACUACGUGCCAACAGCCGCGGUAAUCUGAGCGGGCUGGCAAGGC
Molecule: ribosomal RNA, 199 nt
Filed under: uncultured bacterium
Lineage: Bacteria
Description: partial 16S ribosomal RNA
Rfam family: Bacterial small subunit ribosomal RNA
Source: RNAcentral